Molecule: ribosomal RNA, 250 nt
Filed under: uncultured bacterium
Lineage: Bacteria
Description: partial 16S ribosomal RNA
Rfam family: Bacterial small subunit ribosomal RNA
Source: RNAcentral
AUACGAAGGGUGCAAGCGUUACUCGGAAUUACUGGGCGUAAAGCGUGCGUAGGCGGUUUGUUAAGUCUGACGUGAAAUCCCCGGGCUCAACCUGGGACGUGCGUUGGAAACUGGCGAUCUAGAGUACGGUAGAGGGUGGUGGAAUUCCCGGUGUAGCAGUGAAAUGCGUAGAGAUCGGGAGGAACACUCGUGGCGAAGGCGGCCACCUGGACCAGUACUGACGCUGAGGCAACGAAAGCGGUGGGGAGAC